Molecule: long non-coding RNA, 1216 nt
Organism: Dreissena polymorpha
Lineage: Eukaryota; Metazoa; Mollusca; Bivalvia; Myida; Dreissenidae
Exons: 4
Source: RefSeq, a predicted model, not a curated record
UGCUUAGGUCUAGGAUCAUGAAACUUAAUAGGUACAUUGAUCAUGACUUGCAGAUGACCCCUAUUGAUUUUCAGGUCACUAGGUCAAAGGUCAAGGUCACGGUGACUCAACUUAGAAAAAUGGUUUCCGGAUGAUAACUCAAGAACGCUUAUGCCUAGGAUCAUGAAACUUCAUAGUGGCUGCUGAGUCAGGACAACAAUGAUGAGGAUGUGGUGGACAAGAAUGACCUGAGUACGCAGAAGCAACUGCUCAGCACAGAAGAUGACUGUCUGAUGAAAAGGCUCAGCCGUAUCACAGUCCAGUGAUGAGGGGGGAUGAUGCGGUCGUUCCAUGUCUUAAGAUCACAUCAUGAAAGACAUUUUAGCUGACACUUGGAAGGGAGAGAACUGAAGAUCUGCAACAGCAGUGAGCAUGAGCAUUGUUAUCGAGUUGACGUGGCAACAGCACCAGUCGGACCCCCAGGAGCCUCAGUCCAGGACAACCCUUCCCCUCCCAUGACCCAUCGCUCCACCCCUUUGACCUCCUGCCUCUUUGAACAAUACCAUUCUGCUGGAAUGUCUGAGCAUGUUGAGUUUUCACAAGCUGUUGUCAACAACUGCCGUCUCUGUGUCGAUCGAUCAGCACUUGAGCCUGAGUAGUUUGUUAAGCUCCAGAGCCGAAAAAUAAAAAGUUGGAAACCUUGUUACAUGCUUUGUGGGACUAACAGAGCAACAGCGAAUAAUGGGAGAAAAUCAAGAAACAGUUUAAGAGUGAAAAUUGGAAGCAUUAGCUAUCGACAGGGGCUACUUCUGAUUUCAAUAGUAGAAGCAUAAUGGACCAUCCUGAUUUGUCCUCUAAUGCGUCCAAAAUGUUCAAAACGAACGUGCUUUUUACGCAGUUGCUGACAAAAAAACUUUGUUAUGAACACUCAUAGCAUGAUGAAUACAUCGAGUGUGGUUCAGGCGCAAAUUCUGCCCAUCAUCAUUAACAAGGUGCUUAAGGUGCAUCCAUCAGGGUUGUUACAAGCACUUCACACUCCAAGACAAAACGGCCUCGCAUUGAAUAGACACUAGAUAAAGCUUGAAAAAUGACAGCAGUUUUGUUGUGUGGUCAAGUAUGCCCUUUGACUCUCAACCCGACAUAAGGUAGAACUCAAACUCGGCCCUCAGCAAUAUCAGCGAGGCUAGCAGUUUUGUUGUUUGGUCCAGUAUGCACUUUGACUCUCAACCUGACAUAA